This 23-nucleotide microRNA is filed under the name Strongyloides ratti. RNAcentral's name for it is "str-miR-8368-5p". Lineage: Eukaryota; Metazoa; Nematoda; Chromadorea; Rhabditida; Strongyloididae. The record is from miRBase by way of RNAcentral.
UCCCUGAGAUUUCAUAUAACCGG